UACAGAGGGUGCGAGCGUUAAUCGGAAUUACUGGGCGUAAAGCGCACGUAGGUGGCGACGUAAGUCGGGUGUGAAAGCCCCGGGCUCAACCUGGGAAUUGCAUUCGAGACUGCAUUGCUGGAGUACGGAAGAGGAAGGCGGAAUUCCCGGUGUAGCGGUGAAAUGCGUAGAUAUCUGGAGGAACACCGGUGGCGAAGGCGGCAUCCUGGACCGGUAUUGACGCUGAGGCGCGAAAGCUAGGGGAGCAAACGGG
This 253-nucleotide ribosomal RNA is filed under the name uncultured bacterium. Its description in RNAcentral is "partial 16S ribosomal RNA". It matches the Rfam family "Bacterial small subunit ribosomal RNA", at positions 524 to 776 of the family's 1533-position model. The record is from RNAcentral.